GGUUUCUCGCCCGACCGCGCGUGGCAACAGCGCCGCAUGUAAACACGGCCGCCUCCCCGAAAGCGAAAGCGACUCGCAUUUGACUCGCAAAUUAAUUCUCUUGUGGGGCCCUGGCGAUAGAUUUGGAGGUAUUCAACUCCUGGCAUUACAAAGCGUUCCGGCAAGGGCACGAGGGCUGCGAGGAAGCCACUAGGAUUCUCUCAGACCAACACAGCACGAGGAGGAGAUGCAGACCAGCAGAUCCUGUCGUACUUAAGCCAUUCUUGUUGUUCAUCCUGAAUAAGACACACCUUUGAGAUGUGACCCCCCCCCCCCCUGGAACCAGCCCUUGUGGCCCAGAGCUGCUUUUUGGGAUUCCAUGAGAGGAUUCCGAAAAAGGCCUUCAUUGCCAUGGUAAUUUUACUUUUAGUAAAGCC
Long non-coding RNA from Penaeus monodon (black tiger shrimp), 416 nucleotides. RefSeq lists it as uncharacterized. The transcript is spliced from 3 exons. The record is from RefSeq and is a predicted model, not a curated record. Lineage: Eukaryota; Metazoa; Arthropoda; Malacostraca; Decapoda; Penaeidae.